AAGGUUAUAUGAUCAAGUAAAGGAAGAGCACA
RNAcentral lists this ribosomal RNA (32 nucleotides) under uncultured SAR86 cluster bacterium. RNAcentral describes it as "partial 23S ribosomal RNA". The record is from RNAcentral. Lineage: Bacteria; Pseudomonadati; Pseudomonadota; Gammaproteobacteria.